Molecule: ribosomal RNA, 1040 nt
Filed under: uncultured organism
Description: bacterial SSU rRNA
Rfam family: Bacterial small subunit ribosomal RNA
Source: RNAcentral
CUUACACAUGCAAGUCGAGGGGUAAGGUUUCUUCGGAGAGCACACGACCGGCGCACGGGUGAGUAACGCGUAUGCAACCUACCUUUUUCAGGAAGAUAGCUCCCGGAAACGGGAAUUAAUAUUCCAUAUUCUAUAUAUAUUGCCUGAUAUUGUAUAGUAAAGUAUUCCACGGAAAAAGAUGGGCAUGCGUGUCAUUAGCUAGUUGGUGAGAUAACAGCUCACCAAGGCGACGAUGACUAGGGGUUCUGAAAGGAUGAUCCCCCACACUGGUACUGAGACACGGACCAGACUCCUACGGGAGGCAGCAGUGAGGAAUAUUGCGCAAUGGAGGCAACUCUGACGCAGCCAUGCCGCGUGCAGGAGGACGGCUCUAUGGGUUGUAAACUGCUUUUCUUAACUAAGAAAGAUGGAUAUUUAUAUUCAUUUGACUGGUUUUGGAAUAAGCAUCGGCUAACUCCGUGCCAGCAGCCGCGGUAAUACGGAGGAUGCAAGCGUUAUCCGGAUUCACUAGGUUUAAAGGGUGCGUAGGCGGAAGGAUAAGUCAGUGGUGAAAUCUUGCGGCUUAACCGUAAAAUUGCCAUUGAUACUGUUUUUCUUGAGUGUGGUUGAGGUAGGCGGAAUGAGUAAUGUAGCGGUGAAAUGCUUAGAUAUUACUCAGAACACCGAUUGCGUAGGCAGCUUACUAAGCCAUUACUGACGCUGAUGCACGAAAGCGUGGGUAGCAAACAGGAUUAGAUACCCUGGUAGUCCACGCAGUAAACGUUGAUUACUCGUUGUUGGCAAUACAUCGUCAGCGACUGAGCAAAAGCAUUAAGUAAUCCACCUUGGGGAGUACGUCAGCAAUGAUGAAACUCAAAGGAAUUGACGGGGGCCCGCACAAGCGGAGGAACAUGUGGUUUAAUUCGAUGAUACGCGAGGAACAUUACCUGGGCUUAAAUGUUAAGUGCUAUACCGGGAGACCGGUUUUUCAUUCGGGACACUUUACAAGGUGCUGCAUGGUUGUCGUCAGCUCGUGCCGUGAGGUGUCGGGUUAAGUCCCA